AUACCUUUCUCGGCUUUUUGGCUAAGAUCAAGUGUAGUAUCUGUUCGUAUCAGUUUAAUAUCUGAUACGUGAGUCAUAAGCUCACAUGAUAUUAAAUUAAUUUUUUAAAGGAGAAGGCUCAUCACAAUAGCUUGCUAUUGGAGCCUUCAAGCGUCGCCCAAGUGUUGCACUAUUGCUAGGGCCAGGCACAACCCCA
Tripterygium wilfordii is the source of this 196-nucleotide small nuclear RNA. RefSeq annotates it as U2 spliceosomal RNA. The record is from RefSeq and is a predicted model, not a curated record. NCBI's taxonomy places the organism in Eukaryota, Viridiplantae, Streptophyta, Magnoliopsida, Celastrales, Celastraceae. The transcript has a single exon.